GGGGCUGGGGCUCAGUGGUAGAGCACUUGCUUAGUAUGCAUGAGGCACUAAGUUCAAUCCUCAGCACCA
Molecule: transfer RNA, 69 nt
Filed under: Marmota marmota marmota (Alpine marmot)
Lineage: Eukaryota; Metazoa; Chordata; Mammalia; Rodentia; Sciuridae
Also listed under: 1 other name
Rfam family: tRNA
About the family: Transfer RNA (tRNA) molecules are approximately 80 nucleotides in length. Their secondary structure includes four short double-helical elements and three loops (D, anti-codon, and T loops).
Source: Rfam by way of RNAcentral